Molecule: ribosomal RNA, 465 nt
Filed under: uncultured bacterium
Lineage: Bacteria
Description: partial 16S ribosomal RNA
Rfam family: Bacterial small subunit ribosomal RNA
Source: RNAcentral
CCUACGUGAGGCUGCCGUAGGGAAUUUUCCACAAUGGGCGAAAGCCUGAUGGAGCAACGCCGCGUGGGUGAAGAAGGUCUUCGGAUCGUAAAACCCUGUUGUUAGAGAAGAAAGUGCGUGAGAGUAACUGUUCACGUUUCGACGGUAUCUAACCAGAAAGCCACGGCUAACUACGUGCCAGCAGCCGCGGUAAUACGUAGGUGGCAAGCGUUAUCCGGAUUUAUUGGGCGUAAAGGGAACGCAGGCGGUCUUUUAAGUCUGAUGUGAAAGCCUUCGGCUUAACCGGAGUAGUGCAUUGGAAACUGGGAGACUUGAGUGCAGAAGAGGAGAGUGGAACUCCAUGUGUAGCGGUGAAAUGCGUAGAUAUAUGGAAGAACACCAGUGGCGAAAGCGGCUCUCUGGUCUGUAACUGACGCUGAGGUUCGAAAGCGUGGGUAGCAAACAGGAUUAGAUACCCCAGUAGUC